Long non-coding RNA from Mustela erminea (ermine), 220 nucleotides. RefSeq lists it as uncharacterized. Lineage: Eukaryota; Metazoa; Chordata; Mammalia; Carnivora; Mustelidae. The transcript is spliced from 3 exons. The record is from RefSeq and is a predicted model, not a curated record.
AGCCCGAUGUCAGGCUCGAGCCGAGGACCCUAAGAUCAUGACCUGAGCUGAAGGCAGAGGCUUUGAAUACUCCUUAAAGGAUCUAGACCACUCCAGCUGCUGUACAGAGAAUGGAUUGUGGAAGGUUAAAGUGAAAACAGUGGCCUUGGAAAAGAGAUGGCGGUGGCCUCAUCUAGGGAGGAGCAGAAGAUUUAAUUUAUUUAACAGAGAGAGAGAGAGA